RNAcentral lists this ribosomal RNA (518 nucleotides) under uncultured bacterium. RNAcentral's name for it is "bacterial SSU rRNA". It matches the Rfam family "Bacterial small subunit ribosomal RNA", at positions 350 to 859 of the family's 1533-position model. The record is from RNAcentral.
AGCAGUGGGGAAUUUUGGACAAUGGGGGCAACCCUGAUCCAGCCAUGCCGCGUGAGUGAAGAAGGCCUUCGGGUUGUAAAGCUCUUUCAGGUGGAAAGAAAUCACUACCCCGAAUACGGGUGGUGGAUGACGGUACCAUCAGAAGAAGCACCGGCUAACUACGUGCCAGCAGCCGCGGUAAUACGUAGGGUGCGAGCGUUAAUCGGAAUUACUGGGCGUAAAGCGUGCGCAGGCGGUUGUGUAAGACAGGUGUGAAAUCCCCGGGCUUAACCUGGGAACUGCGCUUGUGACUGCACAGCUAGAGUACGGCAGAGGGGGGURGAAUUCCACGUGUAGCAGUGAAAUGCGUAGAGAUGUGGAGGAAYACCGAUGGCGAAGGCAGCCCCCUGGGCCUGUACUGACGCUCAUGCACGAAAGCGUGGGGAGCAAACAGGAUUAGAUACCCUGGUAGUCCACGCCCUAAACGAUGUCAACUAGUUGUUCGGAGAGGAAACUUUCUGAGUAACGCAGCUAACGCG